RNAcentral lists this ribosomal RNA (253 nucleotides) under uncultured bacterium. RNAcentral describes it as "partial 16S ribosomal RNA". It matches the Rfam family "Bacterial small subunit ribosomal RNA", at positions 524 to 776 of the family's 1533-position model. The record is from RNAcentral.
UACAGAGGUCCCAAGCGUUGUUCGGAUUCACUGGGCGUAAAGGGUGCGUAGGUGGCUUGGUAAGUUUGAUGUGAAAUCUCCGGGCUUAACCCGGAAAUGGCAUUGAAUACUAUUGAGCUGGAGGUUUGGAGGGGGGACUGGAAUUCCUGGUGUAGCGGUGAAAUGCGCAGAUAUCAGGAGGAACACCGGUGGCGAAGGCGGAUCUCUGGGCCGAUACUGACGCUGAGGAGCGAAAGCGUGGGGAGCGAACAGG